This 162-nucleotide ribosomal RNA is filed under the name Cucumis sativus (cucumber). RNAcentral describes it as "5.8S ribosomal RNA". It matches the Rfam family "5.8S ribosomal RNA". Rfam says of the family: 5.8S ribosomal RNA (5.8S rRNA) is a component of the large subunit of the eukaryotic ribosome. The record is from RNAcentral. Lineage: Eukaryota; Viridiplantae; Streptophyta; Magnoliopsida; Cucurbitales; Cucurbitaceae. RNAcentral also lists the same sequence under 1 other name.
AACGACUCUCGGCAACGGAUAUCUCGGCUCUCGCAUCGAUGAAGAACGUAGCGAAAUGCGAUACUUGGUGUGAAUUGCAGGAUCCCGUGAACCACCGAGUCUUUGAACGCAAGUUGCGCCCGGAGCCUUCUGGCCGAGGGCACGUCUGCCUGGGCGUCACGC